RNAcentral lists this ribosomal RNA (478 nucleotides) under uncultured bacterium. RNAcentral's name for it is "partial 16S ribosomal RNA". It matches the Rfam family "Bacterial small subunit ribosomal RNA", at positions 28 to 507 of the family's 1533-position model. The record is from RNAcentral.
GAUGAACGCUGGCGGCGUGCUUAACACAUGCAAGUCGAACGAGAAGUGAAGACGGAAACCUUCGGGCGGAAGGCUUUAUUUCGAGUGGCGGACGGGUGAGUAACGCGUGGGUAACCUGCCUCAUACAGGGGGAUAACAGUUGGAAACGACUGUUAAUACCGUAUAAGACCACAGCACCGCAUGGUGCGGGGGUAAAAACUCCGGUGGUAUGAGAUGGACCCGCGUUCGAUUAGCCAGUUGGCGGGGUAACGGCCCACCAAAGCGACGAUCGAUAGCCGAUCUGAGAGGAUGACCGGCCACAUUGGGACUGAGACACGGCCCAAACUCCUACGGGAGGCAGCAGUGGGGAAUAUUGCACAAUGGGGGAAACCCUGAUGCAGCGACGCCGCGUGAGUGAAGAAGUAUUUCGGUAUGUAAAGCUCUAUCAGCAGGGAAGAAAAUGACGGUACCUGAGUAAGAAGCCCCGGCUAACUACGUG